GUGCCAGCAGCCGCGGUAAAACGUAGGGGGCGAGCGUUGUCCGGAAUUACUGGGCGUAAAGGGCAUGCAGGCGGUGCGCCAAGUCGGCUGUGAAAGUCCCCGGCUCAACCGGGGGAUUGCAGUCGAAACUGAGGGGCUUGAGUGCAGGAGAGGAGGGUGGAAUUCCCGGUGGAGCGGUGAAAUGCGUAGAUAUCGGGAGGAACACCGGUGGCGAAGGCGACUGCCUGGACGAUAACUGACGCUGAGGCACGAAAGCUAGGGGAGCAAACAGGAUUAGAUACCCUGGUAGUCCUAGCCGUAAACGAUGGGUACUAGGUGUAGGGGUUUCGAUACCUCUGUGCCGCAGUUAACGCAAUAAGUACCCCGCCUGGGGAGUACGGUCGCAAGGUUGAAACUCAAAUGAAUUGACGG
RNAcentral lists this ribosomal RNA (411 nucleotides) under uncultured bacterium. Its description in RNAcentral is "bacterial SSU rRNA". It matches the Rfam family "Bacterial small subunit ribosomal RNA", at positions 505 to 916 of the family's 1533-position model. The record is from RNAcentral.